RNAcentral lists this ribosomal RNA (487 nucleotides) under uncultured bacterium. RNAcentral describes it as "partial 16S ribosomal RNA". It matches the Rfam family "Bacterial small subunit ribosomal RNA", at positions 30 to 508 of the family's 1533-position model. The record is from RNAcentral.
AUUGAACGCUGGCGGCAUGCCUUACACAUGCAAGUCGAACGGCAGCACGGGUGCUUGCACCUGGUGGCGAGUGGCGAACGGGUGAGUAAUACAUCGGAACAUGUCCUGUAGUGGGGGAUAGCCCGGCGAAAGCCGGAUUAAUACCGCAUACGAUCUACGGAUGAAAGCGGGGGACCUUCGGGCCUCGCGCUAUAGGGUUGGCCGAUGGCUGAUUAGCUAGUUGGUGGGGUAAAGGCCUACCAAGGCGACGAUCAGUAGAUGGUCUGAGAGGACGACCAGCCACACUGGGACUGAGACACGGCCCAGACUCCUACGGGAGGCAGCAGUGGGGAAUUUUGGACAACGGGCGAAAGCCUGAUCCAGCAAUGCCGCGUGUGUGAAGAAGGCCUUCGGGUUGUAAAGCACUUUUGUCCGGAAAGAAAUCCUUGGCUCUAAUACAGUCGGGGGAUGACGGUACCGGAAGAAUAAGCACCGGCUAACUACGUGC